This 765-nucleotide ribosomal RNA is filed under the name uncultured Streptococcus sp. Its description in RNAcentral is "bacterial SSU rRNA". It matches the Rfam family "Bacterial small subunit ribosomal RNA", at positions 28 to 776 of the family's 1533-position model. The record is from RNAcentral. Lineage: Bacteria; Bacillati; Bacillota; Bacilli; Lactobacillales; Streptococcaceae.
GACGAACGCUGGCGGCGUGCCUAAUACAUGCAAGUAGAACGCUGAGGACUGGUGCUUGCACCGGUCCAAGGAGUUGCGAACGGGUGAGUAACGCGUAGGUAACCUACCUCAUAGCGGGGGAUAACUAUUGGAAACGAUAGCUAAUACCGCAUAAAAGUGUUUAACCCAUGUUAAACAUUUAAAAGGUGCAAUUGCAUCACUAUGAGAUGGACCUGCGUUGUAUUAGCUAGUUGGUGAGGUAACGGCUCACCAAGGCGACGAUACAUAGCCGACCUGGGAGGGUGAUCGGCCACACUGGGACUGAGACACGGCCCAGACUCCUACGGGAGGCAGCAGUAGGGAAUCUUCGGCAAUGGACGGAAGUCUGACCGAGCAACGCCGCGUGAGUGAGGAAGGUUUUCGGAUCGUAAAGCUCUGUUGUUAGAGAAGAAUGAUGGUGGGAGUGGAAAAUCCACCAUGUGACGGUAACUAACCAGAAAGGGACGGCUAACUACGUGCCAGCAGCCGCGGUAAUACGUAGGUCCCGAGCGUUGUCCGGAUUUAUUGGGCGUAAAGCGAGCGCAGGCGGUUCUUUAAGUCUGAAGUUAAAGGCAGUGGCUCAACCAUUGUACGCUUUGGAAACUGGAGAACUUGAGUGCAGAAGGGGAGAGUGGAAUUCCAUGUGUAGCGGUGAAAUGCGUAGAUAUAUGGAGGAACACCGGUGGCGAAAGCGGCUCUCUGGUCUGUAACUGACGCUGAGGCUCGAAAGCGUGGGGAGCAAACAGG